Molecule: long non-coding RNA, 452 nt
Filed under: Equus caballus (horse)
Lineage: Eukaryota; Metazoa; Chordata; Mammalia; Perissodactyla; Equidae
Description: lncRNA (ENSECAG00000049612.1)
Source: RNAcentral
AGGAGAGGAGGGAAGGCUGAACCAAGACCAGGCAUUAGGGAUGGCGGGAGCGGGCAGCGGAGGGGCCUUCGGAGCAGGAAGAGGUGGAAAGUCUGGAAGACACCCUGAUAGAGGCUGGAAGACUCUGAUAGAGACGUCCAGCUCAUAAAGGCCGGAGAGAGAGGCUGCCCCAGCCUUCAAGGAAAGUCUCUGACCAGCUUUGGAUCUCAGAGGAUUACUCUGGCCCACAAGUGCCCCUGGCCUGCCUGCUGACCCCAACACACGCAGGGACUGGAGCACGGUACCAACAGAAGCCAAGGACCACGUGUCUACACACAUGAAGCUGGAGAUUGAGCCCACAAACUCCUAAUAAAGCAAACUCUGUCCUUCCACCUGGGCAAGUGUACCUUCCCGACGAGGGGAAGACCAAGUCCAAAUUUAGAAUUCUUGGGGUGCUUGGAGGCUGUGCCAGA